UCACUUACCUGGACGGGGUCAAUGGGUGAUCAAGAAGGUCCAUGGCCUAGGUUGGUGACCUCUAUUGCACUUCGGAGGGGUGCCCGCCUAAGGUCGGCCCAAGUGGUCGAGCCUACGUCAUAAUUUGUGGCAGUGGGGGUUUGCGUUCGCGCAGCCCCUGC
RNAcentral lists this small nuclear RNA (161 nucleotides) under Helianthus annuus (common sunflower). Its description in RNAcentral is "sRNA HanXRQr2_Chr08g0321421". It matches the Rfam family "U1 spliceosomal RNA". From Rfam's summary of the family: U1 is a small nuclear RNA (snRNA) component of the spliceosome (involved in pre-mRNA splicing). Its 5' end forms complementary base pairs with the 5' splice junction, thus defining the 5' donor site of an intron. Lineage: Eukaryota; Viridiplantae; Streptophyta; Magnoliopsida; Asterales; Asteraceae. The record is from RNAcentral.